Molecule: ribosomal RNA, 301 nt
Filed under: uncultured bacterium
Lineage: Bacteria
Description: partial 16S ribosomal RNA
Rfam family: Bacterial small subunit ribosomal RNA
Source: RNAcentral
CAGUAGCCGCGGUAAUACGAAGGGUGCAAGCGUUACUCGGAAUUACUGGGCGUAAAGCGUGCGUAGGUGGUUGUUUAAGUCCGUUGUGAAAGCCCUGGGCUCAACCUGGGAAUUGCAGUGGAUACUGGGUCACUAGAGUGUGGUAGAGGAUAGUGGAAUUUCCGGUGUAGCAGUGAAAUGCGUAGAGAUCGGAAGGAACAUCUGUGGCGAAGGCGACUAUCUGGGCCAACACUGACACUGAGGCACGAAAGCGUGGGGAGCAAACAGGAUUAGAUACCCCCGUAGUCCCUGUCUCUUAUAC